GAAGUUUGUGGCUGGAAUGUGAAAAACUGUGUGGAAAGCUGAAAGUCUGUGAAUGAUUUUUCAAAGUACUGCAGUAGUUAUCAGGCAAAAGAAUAAACUGACAGUUUUCCAGAAGUACUUGUUGUCUGUCGCCUACUUUAUUCCUUUUUCAGCAGGAGAUGAUGUCAAAUAGCAGAGCAAUAAACUGACAGGAUUUCUGGCUCAAACUGACAACUCACCGCAGAGAUUAUACACAGGAGUCAGACAUGAUGCUCUCCCAGAAGCAAGAAGCUCCUCCGGCUAGCUCCAGGCUCAUUCCUGCCCGGAUCCCCGAAGGAUGGAGAACACAUUCAGACUGUGAUUCACCGCAAAAAACAAAUACAUCACAAGUGACUGGCUCUGUAUAACUCUGUCAAAAAACACCAGGAGAUUUGUUCCUGAGUUUGUUGUGAGCUGAACUCCAUCUUUCCAUCUCAGAAACUGCAGCUGCUCAAAUCUGCUCAAACACCCAGCCAGACAGAAAACUCAGAACAAUCAGUUAUUGACCUGUAAUUUGUACAAGUAUGUCCUUUUUCCAAAAUAUUAGUUUCUUCACUUGAUUUAAGUUCAGCAAGAAGAAACUUGGGUAAGUUUAAAUUGUUUAUUAUCCUUUUUUGCUGCAGUAGAAAUCUAUUCAGAAGUUGUUUUCUGUAUGCACGAGUGUGGAUGAUAUACCUGCUUUUAAUGUCACUUCAUUGGACUCUCUGUUUUGUCUCAUUCUACACACUGCCACCUACUGACCAAACAGUUUAAGUAAAGAAUGCCUCAAACCAACUGUGGCUGACUAAAAAAAUUGAUGGAAGUACAGUAUCUGACGGAAAGAAAGGCUAACAUUAGGUCAAAUGAAGUAUGAUCCAGUUCUGUGAUGGUAUGAAGCACCAACAUAUUAGCAGUAGAUGCUGUAGGUCUUCUGACUUUUUUACAGUACAUAACAUAUAUGGGAUUGUUCACAAUGUUCCUUCCUUAGACAUAUUUUGAUAUGUAGUGUUGAGACACUAUGGUUCAGUUGUCUGGCCCUCAAAAUGUGUUUCUCAUUUAAUCCAGUUAAAGGCUUCACCUUGCUCAUUUGCCGCAGCUUUUAACACAUUAUCUAUUGAGGCAAAAUCUUCACUUGUCCCUUGUUUCUGACAAUCAGUUGCCAUGACAAAGACAUAAUCACUUCACCUAUCAGCACUCAUAAUGUUUGGUCUGAUUAGUGUGUGUCCAAGCAUUUGCUGGUUUCUUCUUGUUAAUGGAGAGUUUUCCUCUCCACUGUCGCUACAUGCAU
Long non-coding RNA from Poecilia latipinna (sailfin molly), 1285 nucleotides. RefSeq lists it as uncharacterized. The transcript is spliced from 3 exons. Lineage: Eukaryota; Metazoa; Chordata; Actinopteri; Cyprinodontiformes; Poeciliidae. The record is from RefSeq and is a predicted model, not a curated record.